This 253-nucleotide ribosomal RNA is filed under the name uncultured bacterium. RNAcentral describes it as "partial 16S ribosomal RNA". It matches the Rfam family "Bacterial small subunit ribosomal RNA", at positions 524 to 776 of the family's 1533-position model. The record is from RNAcentral.
UACGUAGGGGGCAAGCGUUGUCCGGAUUUAUUGGGCGUAAAGAGCGUGUAGGCGGUUUGGUAGGUCCGCUGUGAAAACUCGAGGCUCAGCCUCGGGACGCCGGUGGAAACCAUCAGACUAGAGUCCGGAAGAGGAGAAUGGAAUUCCCGGUGUAGCGGUGAAAUGCGCAGAUAUCGGGAGGAACACCGGUGGCGAAGGCGGUUCUCUGGGCCUUACCUGACGCUGAGGAGCGAAAGCGUGGGGAGCGAACAGG